Molecule: ribosomal RNA, 494 nt
Filed under: uncultured bacterium
Lineage: Bacteria
Description: partial 16S ribosomal RNA
Rfam family: Bacterial small subunit ribosomal RNA
Source: RNAcentral
GACGAACGCUGGCGACGCGCUUAACACAUGCAAGUCGAACGGAAAGGCCUGCUUUCCCUUGUGGAUUGCGGGUACUCGAGUGGCGAACGGGUGAGUAACACGUGAGUGAUCUGCCCCCAACUUGGGUAUAAGCCUGGGAAACUGGGUCUAAUUCCCGAUAGGACUGCAGGGUGGUGCCUGUGGUGGAAAACGAUUUUCUAGUGGUUGGGGAUGAGCUCGCGGCCUAUCAGCUUGUUGGUGGGGUAAUGGCCUACCAAGGCGGCGACGGGUAGCCGGCCUGAGAGGGUGGACGGCCACAUUGGGACUGAGAUACGGCCCAGACUCCUACGGGAGGCAGCAGUGGGGAAUAUUGCACAAUGGGCGGAAGCCUGAUGCAGCGACGCCGCGUGGGGGAUGACGGCCUUCGGGUUGUAAACUCCUUUCGACCGCGAGGAAGCCACCUGGUUGGAAGGGUGGUGACGGUAGCGGUAGAAGAAGCACCGGCUAACUACGUG